Felis catus (domestic cat) is the source of this 2332-nucleotide long non-coding RNA. RefSeq lists it as uncharacterized. The transcript is spliced from 3 exons. The record is from RefSeq and is a predicted model, not a curated record. Lineage: Eukaryota; Metazoa; Chordata; Mammalia; Carnivora; Felidae.
UGAACUCGGAGGCUUAACCGACUGCGCCACCCAGGCACCCCAGGAGGUUACUAAUUUAAACAACAGACUAGUGGUAGACCACAUGGCCAUGACCCCGUGGACAGAAAAAACCACUUCUGCUUUUUGUACGACAUCACCCGCGUUCUCCACGUCUUUUUUCGUCAAACACGCACGUGCACCUUGAGAAAGGAGCUGGUGGCAGGGCAGGACUGAAAACCGGGCUUGUUUGUCCUUGGAAGCUCGGCCCGAUUUGUAGUUUGCCUUUUCUUCCAUGACUUAUUUCCAAAUGUCACAGCGUGAGGGGCCGUUUUUCGAUGCACCGGAAGCGGAACACUGACACCGGUUCUGCCUCCCGGAGGAUAAGGGGGAAGGAGAGUAUUUAUGGGAUUUUACGAGGGGGGCGGGGAGCUGGAAGGUGGAUGGAGGUGAUUGGAAGUUGGGAAGUGGGGAGGUACAGGGGAGGCCCUCACCGCUUCUGCGCAGGCGCCGCCCAGCGACCCAGGCUUUUAUUUCCUAUGUGCCAAGGGUGGAGGCGCUGGCGUGACCUUGGUGGGGAGGUCUCGCCUGUGUGGUCGCAGAGGUUACUUUUGUUCCCUCUCGGUCCCUUCUGCGCAGCUGCCAGACUUCUUCCCGGUUGGUUCCUGUCUUCCUUGGUCUUGUGACCAUCGGUCAAGUUUCUGCAAAACAGGCUCCUAAGUCAAUUAGGUUGAACAGAGUGUGCUUGGGGUCGAACGGUCAGGCGCGUGUUCAUGUGUCGGUUUCACAGAUCGUCCCCAGAUCCCGGGGUCGGUCUGGGAGAGCUGUUGUAGCCACAUUGGCCAGUGCCUGUAUUCCCCGUGUUACUCUGAGCUCCAAGGAGUUUCCGUGGGUUUCUUUGAGGGCUGCGUCCCAGCGCCCAGGGCGCCACCAAGAGAGCCCUCGCCAGUCACAACUGGCCACUGACCUGCCUCCAGGAAAUAACGUUUUUGCCUCAUCUGAUUCGAUAUAAUCUCCUCUUUCUCAAGUCCCGAAUCUGAGAAGAGAGUGAGGCAAGACCUGGCACGUUUGGUCACUUAGUUUUUCUCUUGCCUUUCAGUUGGUCAGGAAGUGAAUGGAGUGGCUUCCUCUGGGUGCUGUUUCCACCCCGCAUGAAAGGGCAGCGGCUCGUGGCAACAUAUGUGGGAGGAACUUUGCAGACUUAAAGGAUUUAUGGGAAAUUACAAACAGACUGGCCCGUGGAGCCCAGAGGCAAGUGAGGAUAAUUGGAAUCCUGUUCACCGAAGAGAUAUGAGGCGCUUCCAUAUUUGUUAAUCACAAAUUUCUCCCUUUUUAUUCCCCACAGAGCAAUCUGUCUCCAUAGAUAUUUAUAGUUCAGACUCCCAGAGGGUGCUAGCCUCCCAUCCUUGCUGCUGGGUAGUUUUCUUCUGCUGACGGAACAGACUAGAGGUGCUAACCCCUGUCCGGAGGGCUCCCGUUAGAGAGGGCAGACAGGCCACCUGCCUGUUAGGUGGCCCAGAGCCACCUGGGGCUUCCAGGAGGAGGGGAAGCGUCUAGUCUCCGUGUUGGAAAAAGCAAAUUCGUAGCAGAGACGUUUUCCCGGUCUGCUCUCCUCACUUUGGAAGAAGCUUGGCAACCCAGGUUAGUGUCUUUUUUAAAACGAUGCCGUCCCCACUGUUAAAACCCCCAAUUCAACUAAGUGAAAGUUAAAGGGUCUUAUUGGCUUCCUGGGACAAUUCAUGAAGAGGGCAGCAUUCCACCCAGCGGACAGAAAGAAGAUCUGAGGGCCUCUACAGUUUGAAGGACGUUUACAGGCAGAAGGGGGCAGGAACAAGGACGUUAUGCUAGCAAAAACAGAUUGGCUGUGCCAAGUCAUUUUCCUGUAGGGGACAACCGUGGUCUAUCAGGCAGAUAACCUCACCAGUGGUGACCAGAUGAUUCCCGAUGGACCGGUUUCAGAUCACACUUCUGGAAGAGGCUGAGACCAUAACGAAGGAUCAGUCGGAGAGAAACGAGGCCGAGAGUGGGUCGCAUGGGAGCCGUUACAUUGAUCUAGAAGACUUUGCAAGGGGAUAGUCACAGAACUCAGAAAGUGAUUACACGGGAUGGAGGAGGCAGGGAGAGAGCCAAAGACGAAUCAAGGUGACAAGUCAAAGUGGCGGAGAGAGUAAAGAUGCCAUUGUACAGAGAAGACAGAAAGAGGGACAGAUCUCUGAUAGGGGAUUGGAAAAUGCAAGCUGGGGGUCGCCUCGGUGGCUCAAGUCGGUUAAAGUGUCCAACUCUUGAUUUCGGCUCUGGUCAGGAUCUCACGGUUGGUGAGUUCAAGCUCCACAUCAGGCUCUGCUUGGGAUUCUGU